Felis catus (domestic cat) is the source of this 1115-nucleotide long non-coding RNA. RefSeq lists it as uncharacterized. NCBI's taxonomy places the organism in Eukaryota, Metazoa, Chordata, Mammalia, Carnivora, Felidae. The record is from RefSeq and is a predicted model, not a curated record. The transcript is spliced from 3 exons.
GUAGUAAUCUCUCCUGUUUCGCAAAGAGUGGGGGAAUGGCAGCACCGCAGGGUGACCUGCCUGAAGCCACAGAGGGAAGAUAAAUAACUAGGAGGAAACACCAGAGCUGAAAAUCUCCAGCCGAGAUUUAAGGCCUGAGGCCCGUGAGCUGUUCUGGGAAGCGCUUGGCUCUCUGAGUGAAGGGCCCCGCCCGUGUGGUGUGAUCGUAGGUCUCAGUGGAGCCCUGACCAUUCGGUGGCUUCUCUGGACCACGUGGUUUACCUCUGACCAGGCCUCGCAGAGUUGCCCUCUGGCAUGAAUCCUCGUCAAUUCCCUGCAGGCCAGCUCCCAGGAGAGGGGCCCACAACUUGGAUGCUUGAAGACGGUGGCUGGCAGUUCAGGAACUGAGGAAGAAACUGCGAUCCAGAAAUACACAUAAUGCCUGCAUAAGGCAGCAAGAAGGCAGGCCAGAGCACAUUUCUGGACACUGAAUGUGGAGAGUGGCUAAGAUCUGCCUCCUGAUGGUUAGGGCUGGUUAAUAGAACAUGUGGAGCUCUGCUUCCAGGGGUAACCUGUCUAUUCAGCAAGUAACCAGCAAAAAGUUGCAUUCCGCAAAUGUUUGGAGAGCCUCAGACAAGGAGGUUGUUUUCAGCAGAGACUUAUGGGGAUAUUUUCUGUGCCUAAAGACUUUGAGGAAGUGAAAACCUUCUUCUGCCAAACCAGCGUUUUUAGAUCAAAAUGUGUCGUGGUUGGGAAGCUCUUGUCUCUGUCUGGCUGAGGUCACUAUCAGCCACACUGGUAAGAAGCAUGGAAAUCUGGUGCUCAGUUCUCAUCCCUAGGCAGAGGGCCGGCCUGGAGGACUUCUCAGUCUGGUAGCCCUGGCCUCUUCAGUGGCCCCAUUAACAACAUAUUCUGCCUUUCCUGUUGCCCUUCCUUGUUUCCGUCUUGCCAUUCUUGUUACAAUAUGCUUUCUGCUUUUCAUUUUUAAAACUCUUGAUUUCAGCUCAGGUCAUGAUCUCAAGGUCCGUGAGUUCGAGCCAUGUGUUGGGUUCUACUCUGACUGUAUGGAGCCUGCUUGAGAUUCUCUUUCUCCCUCUCUCUCUGCCCCUCCCCCUGCUUGUGGACAUGUAAGCUCC